This 74-nucleotide transfer RNA is filed under the name Manouria emys. RNAcentral's name for it is "tRNA-Trp". Lineage: Eukaryota; Metazoa; Chordata; Testudines; Testudinidae. The record is from RNAcentral.
AGAAACUUAGGAUCAACCUUCAAAACCAGGAGCCUUCAAAGCUCCAAAUAAGAGAUAAAACCUCUUAGUUUCUG